This 23-nucleotide transfer RNA is filed under the name Atta sexdens. Its description in RNAcentral is "partial tRNA-Leu". Lineage: Eukaryota; Metazoa; Arthropoda; Insecta; Hymenoptera; Formicidae. The record is from RNAcentral.
UUUAAUAUGGCAGAAUAGUGCAU